UUUAGUCCCUGUUUUGCAUUACAUGGGUGCGGUUGUGUGAUGUACAGUGAACGUUUUCCACAACUAAUGUUCAAUAAGAGCAGUGACUCAACUUGAAAAUCAUGGAUUUUUCUGUUAAUGCCGCACCAACCAGAAUACCAACAGAUGAAUCGAUCGACCAUGGUGACUAUGGAAGUAAACAUCAUUUUCAGAUUUACAAAUCAUCUCUGGCCGAUCUACAUAAACUGCUAGCUUCAACAGACAUGAGGAGCUCUAAUUUUAUAAAAAAAAAAAAAAAAAAAAAUUGUAAC
This is a long non-coding RNA of Bradysia coprophila, 290 nucleotides long. RefSeq lists it as uncharacterized. The record is from RefSeq and is a predicted model, not a curated record. NCBI's taxonomy places the organism in Eukaryota, Metazoa, Arthropoda, Insecta, Diptera, Sciaridae.